GACAGAGGGUGCAACCGUUGUUCGGAAUUACUGGGCGUAAAGCGCGUGUAGGCUGCUUCGCAAGUCGGAUGUGAAAGCCCUGGGCUCAACCUAGGAAGUGCAUUCGAAACUUCGAAGCUUGAGUUCUGGAGAGGAAGGCGGAAUUCUCGGUGUAGAGGUGAAAUUCGUAGAUAUCGAGAGGAACACCGGUGGCGAAGGCGGCCUUCUGGACAGUGACUGACGCUGAGACGCGAAAGCGUGGGUAGCGAACAGG
RNAcentral lists this ribosomal RNA (253 nucleotides) under uncultured bacterium. Its description in RNAcentral is "partial 16S ribosomal RNA". It matches the Rfam family "Bacterial small subunit ribosomal RNA", at positions 524 to 776 of the family's 1533-position model. The record is from RNAcentral.